This is a long non-coding RNA of Homarus americanus (American lobster), 402 nucleotides long. RefSeq lists it as uncharacterized. The record is from RefSeq and is a predicted model, not a curated record. Lineage: Eukaryota; Metazoa; Arthropoda; Malacostraca; Decapoda; Nephropidae. The transcript is spliced from 3 exons.
CCUGCUGGGGAUGGCUGUUCUCGGUACUGUACUGUGCGCUGCCGCUGUUCGGGGUAGGCCAGUACGCCCUCCAGUACCCGGGGUCAUGGUGUUACCUCAACAUCCACGUCACCGGGGCCUCACCACUCCACCACGUCCUCUACACCAACGUCUUCGGCUUUUUCACCAUCGUCUGCCUCGUCAUCAUGGUCAUCUGCAACGUCGUCGUCAUCACAACGUUACUGUGUCUGCGGCUGUGUAGGGAGAAUGCUGUCGGUCGGCGCUGUGUGCACCUCAUCGGUCGUCCCGCCAGAGGGAGCUGGAGAUGCAGAUGGUCAUUGUCCUGGUGGUGAUCACAGUGGUGUUUGUCCUCUCCUGGUCACCUAUUGAUUUACGACUCUUCAUCAACCAGAUACGACCCCA